UUUUGUAACAAAAUUUAUUUUUGCUCUGUGGAUACAAAUCCCAAACAUCAACAAACAAAUUCCAGUGGAAAAAUACCAGUCAUUAACAAUGAAAACUUUUAUUAUUAUUUAAUAAAUAGAACUUUGGCAUUCAAAAUUCUAGCUGUAAACCCUACUUUAAAAAAAAUUACAAAAAGAGGCAAGAACAACAAGCCUAAAGCUGAGCCAGCCAGUGGCUCCUUUACUUUUUACAAUGAACACAUUGUGAUUAAGUCAUGACAACUCUAUUUACAUAUGAGGUAUUCUGAGCGGUUCAUAAAUUGAACCCAAUUUACAAAACUACCAGUCUUCAGGGACUGAUCCAGUACAUAUGUCAGCUGUGCUUUUAAAAGAUAGCUCCAGACACUCCUCCCCACUGAACUAAUGAUAUACUGCAAUUUAUAUACACAAAACGAACACAUUACGGUUGGAGUUUCCUGCUCACGCUGCAUACUACAACCAGCCUAACAUUCAAAGUGUACACCUAGUACCUAGUUUAAGUACUUCUGUUUCUAGACAUCAUGCGAGAGUUCUACUACAAAAACUUAUGAACAAAAUAUCGGCAGGUAAGAAGAAAACAAGGUGCAGUCAUCAGCAUCCUAAUAACCUCUUUAAAGUUCAAGGGGAAUAUACACUUACUUCAGGCAAAAAAAGGCACAAAGGUAUGCAGCUGUGAAUUAAUAUUGCUAAUGAGCUACCAGAAUAAGUCAUCUCUUUAGAUAACAACCAUUGAUUUGUUUGCAGUCUAAGAAUGCAGAUUAGUUCAGAUGAUGUUCUCCCCCCUCACGACAGAACUUCUCACAUCAAUGAGAAGAGCCCAAUUAUAGCUCCAACUCGACCUGUGUAACAUCAUUGAUAAGGACAAGGAAAACUGGAGCAAAUUACUCCCAUGCAGAGUGACUGCAGCGUGCCAUCGCGGCCCAUGCUAGGACAGCAGGUCACAGAAGAAGGGGUUUGCUUUCUUUCCUUGUGCUCUUACACUGCAAGAGAAACGUCAACCCUCCCCCCCUCCAUUUGAAAUGAAAGGCGGGCAGCAAGGGCAAAGGAAGGAACCCUUUGUAAGUGUAAUGGACGAAAUUUCAGCUCUUGUAAUGGCUUCAUGGCCACCGGCAGUUUCGAAUGCUGGAGCCCGAGUGCAUGGUUACAGCAAUCUCCACAAUUUCACACAACUAUCACACUACAAAGCUGCAGAGCAGGGGUGAGCAACCUAAAUCACAUUUACACAACUGAGCUGCAUUACUUCUAUACCGUAAAUACAUAGCAUCACCUAUAGCUUGUCCGAAGACAGUUACUUUCCAAGUCUUUUUCAAAAUACAUUCUCAAAUACAGUAGUUACUGUAAAUAUCUUCUAAAGGAUUGUAUAAAUUCAAUCUGAAACUAUACAGAACAUUACUGUACAAAUUUGCUGGCAGCCAGAACGGUACAGUAUCCAUUCAUGAGCAGUUGGUUUUCAGCCCUUGAGAUUGUCUAAUAGCUACAGCAAAAAGUUGUCAUGACUAAAUCUAAGCAAUUCCAAUGUUAACAUUCGUUAAUCAACUCUGUAUUAAAUAUGCUGAAUGAGACCACACACACACUACAUUUUAACCAAUUAAACAAUCAUGCAUAUCUUAGACAAAGCUUAUUCCAUUUAGAGGCAUCCAUAAACUGAUGCAGAUAUAAUAAUUACUACUACUACAACAGGCCAAAUUUUAAGAAAUCAAAGGAAAAUAGUGGAUCACUGUAGACAGUCAAUUGGUAGUCUGCAUCUUUGGCUCAUACAUCCAUCAUUUAUCUCCCUACUUUAAUUUGACUGAGGCAGAUAAACUCAGGGUUCUUUAAAAUCAAGUGCUUUAAAGUCAACCUAAAUAUUACAGGGUCCAUAAUAAAAAUAUUACAGUGCAAGAUUAGAGCACUGCAAUCAAAGUAUUACAACUAAAAUGGCUCCUCCUUCCUGAGGGACUUUCCACUAAUACUUGAAGAGCAUAAAAGCUCCUGAAGUGCUUUGCAAAUCUAAAAUCACUGACCUCAACUCUGUAGCACAGUAUCACCAUGUAACAGGAGGGACAGUGGAGGCACACCAGCCAAGUUACCAGCUUAAUAGUUCAAAGGGAGACAAAAAGUCUCCUGCUCCUCCCUAAUUGCUCUGUUAAACUCCUUGUUAUUUCCACCAAAUUUAGAAAAAUAUGUUGCUUGUUAAUUUUUAUAGGUACAACGUUUCCAUGUAAGGAAACAGUAACAUGCAACUUGGGUGUUGCCUCUCUCCCUAAUACUUCUAGUUUAUUCUCUGAAAUGCUAUUGUUGAAUUCUGAUAUGAGACAGAUACCAUGAACUGGAGACUAUUACUUCACUGCAGGGCCACCACCACCAAUGAACUACACCAAAGUAACGAGCCGAGGCCCUAGUCACAAAAGCUAGUACUGUUAGAGGCACAGGAAACUGCGCAAGCCCAUUUGUGCAAAGAUCCUUGUUUUCAGUUUUGCACUAGUAUAAAAGCACACCUUCAAACCUACAGAAAGAGCAUAGAAAUUUAAACUAAA
RNAcentral lists this long non-coding RNA (2534 nucleotides) under Strigops habroptila (Kakapo). RNAcentral's name for it is "lncRNA (ENSSHBG00005002671.1)". The record is from RNAcentral. Lineage: Eukaryota; Metazoa; Chordata; Aves; Psittaciformes; Psittacidae.